CCUACGGGGAGCAGCAGUGGGGCAUAUUGCACAAUUGGGGAAACCCUGAUGCAGCGACGCCGCGUGAGUGACGAAGUAUUUCGGUAUGUAAAGCUCUAUCAACAAGGAAGAAAAGGACGGUACCUGAGUAAGAAGCCACGGCUAACUACGUGCCAGCAGCCGCGGUAAUACGUAGGGGGCAAGCGUUAUCCGGAUUGACUGGGUGGAAAGGGAGCUUAGACGGCAGCACAAGUCUGGAGUGAAAUGCCGGGGCUUAACACCGGAACUGCGUUGGAAUCUGUGCAGCUAGAGUUCAGCAUAGGUAAGUUGACUUCCUAGUGUAGAUGUGAAAUGCGUAGAGAUUAGGAGGAACACCAGUGGCGAAGGCGGCUUACUGGACUGUAACUGACGUUGAGGCUCGAAAGCGUGGGGAGCAAACAGGAUUAGAUACCCUUGUAGUC
Molecule: ribosomal RNA, 440 nt
Filed under: uncultured bacterium
Lineage: Bacteria
Description: partial 16S ribosomal RNA
Rfam family: Bacterial small subunit ribosomal RNA
Source: RNAcentral